This 241-nucleotide unclassified non-coding RNA is filed under the name plant metagenome. RNAcentral's name for it is "partial contains small subunit ribosomal RNA, internal transcribed spacer 1, and 5.8S ribosomal RNA". The record is from RNAcentral.
UUUCCGUAGGUGAACCUGCGGAAGGAUCAUUAAAGAGUAAGGGUCUUCGGGCCCGAUCUCCAACCCUUUGUUUAACUACCAUGUUGCUUUGGCGGGCCCGUCUCACGACCGCCGGAAGUUUGGCUUCGACCAAACUUCUGGCCCGUGCCCGUCAGUGGCCCCUUCAAAUUCUUGAUCAAGUAUGAUGUCUUAGUUAAAAACUUAAUAGUUAAAACUUUCAACAACGGAUCUCUUGGUUCUC